RNAcentral lists this ribosomal RNA (408 nucleotides) under uncultured bacterium. RNAcentral's name for it is "partial 16S ribosomal RNA". It matches the Rfam family "Bacterial small subunit ribosomal RNA", at positions 28 to 526 of the family's 1533-position model. The record is from RNAcentral.
GACGAACGCUGGCGGCGUGCUUAACACAUGCAAGUCGAACGAAGUGGCGAACGGGUGAGUAAAGCGUAAUCAACCUGCCCUUCAGAGGGGGACAAAAGUUGGAAACGACUGCUAAUACCGAAUACUGAAGGAGGGGAAUGCGUGUGAUUAGCUAGUUGGAGGGGUAACGGCCCACCAAGGCGAUGAGCAGUAGCCGGUCUGGGAGGAUGAACGGCCACAUUGGGACUGAGACACGGCCCAGACUCCUACGGGGGGCAGCAGUGGGGAAACUUCCGCAAUGGACGAAAGUCUGACGGAGCAACGCCGCGUGAGUGAUGACGGCCUUCGGGUUGUAAAGCUCUGUUAAUCGGGACGCGGUACCGGAAUAGAAAGCCACGGCUAACUACGUGCCAGCAGCCGCGGUAAUUC